AAUAGGGCAGACACUUAGCAGCACAUAUUGGAAAGAUACAGCCAAGAUUACCAUAGCCCCUGUGCAAGGCUGACAUGAAAAUCCGUGAAGCAGUACAUAUUAUU
This is a small nuclear RNA of Microtus oregoni (creeping vole), 104 nucleotides long. The record is from RefSeq and is a predicted model, not a curated record. Lineage: Eukaryota; Metazoa; Chordata; Mammalia; Rodentia; Cricetidae.